UUCAGUCCCCCGAUUCCUCUCUAAGGGGUUUCCCCACCAUGUCCUCCACCCCGGAGGCCAUCCUCAAGGGGAUGUCGAGGGUUUGGAGGAAGGCAAGGAGGAGAACAGCGGUCCGUGAGUUCUCCGGUCAUCGAGCGGCCGCUGAAGGUCCCCGUCGUUCCAAAGGGGGCUCGAGGAAGAAUUCCUUCAACAACAGGGGUUUAAUAACGGGGACCGUCGGUAAAGGUGUUCUGCCCGAGAAUUUCGGAGUAGCAAGACG
This 259-nucleotide long non-coding RNA is filed under the name Elaeis guineensis (African oil palm). Its description in RNAcentral is "long non-coding RNA (EGUI_LNC011899)". The record is from RNAcentral. Lineage: Eukaryota; Viridiplantae; Streptophyta; Magnoliopsida; Arecales; Arecaceae.